Carassius gibelio (silver crucian carp) is the source of this 573-nucleotide long non-coding RNA. RefSeq lists it as uncharacterized. NCBI's taxonomy places the organism in Eukaryota, Metazoa, Chordata, Actinopteri, Cypriniformes, Cyprinidae. The transcript has 3 exons. The record is from RefSeq and is a predicted model, not a curated record.
UAUUUUUCAGAGCCCUCCCUUAAGGGAAAGGAAGAAGAAAGAGGGAGUGAGAGAAAGGGACCCACUGUUGAAGACGAGCACCGCACAAAGACCACACAAAAAACAGCCUGGAGAGGAGAAAAUAACAAGUGCUGUUAUUCCUGAGGCUUUACUUUUACUCCGUGUUUUCUAUAUUUUGGUUGUUUUAAGAACCGAUAACUGUCCUGUAGUUUAUGUUUGGGCGCUUGCAGCUGCAGUAGAGGUUUUGGUCAGGACUGGCUGUGUGAACGCUGAGCUGAUGCUUCCCAGCUGUGGUUUGUUGAGCGCCCUUCUGCUGGCGGGUCAGUCUGGAGCGUGCCUCCCCACUGCUCCUGCACAGGCACCUCUGUGGACUGCCAUGGACUCGCCUUCAAAAACAUGCCACGAAAUAUACCAAAAAACACAGAAUGACUGGACUUGAAUUUAAACAACCUCACACAUAUUGGCAAGGAUGACUUCACUGGCCUGAAGCACCUCCGAAUUUUGCAGCUCAUGGAUAACCAGAUCAUCACUAUUGACAGAGGAGCCUUCAAUGAUCUGAAGGAGCUGGACAGA